This 672-nucleotide ribosomal RNA is filed under the name Bacillus thuringiensis. Its description in RNAcentral is "bacterial SSU rRNA". It matches the Rfam family "Bacterial small subunit ribosomal RNA", at positions 763 to 1421 of the family's 1533-position model. The record is from RNAcentral. Lineage: Bacteria; Bacillati; Bacillota; Bacilli; Caryophanales; Bacillaceae.
GGGAGGCAAACAGGGAUUAGAUACCCUGGUAGUCCACGCCGUAAAACGAUGAGUUGCUAAGUGUUAGAGGGGUUUCCGCCCUUUAGUGAUGAAAGUUAAACGCAUUAAGCAUUCCGCUUGGGGAGUACGGGCCGCAAGGGCUGAAACUCAAAGGGAAUUGACGGGGGCCCGCACAAGCGGGUGGAGCAUGUGGUAUAAUUUUGAAGCCAACGCGAAGAAACCUUACCAGGUCUUGACAUCCUUUGAAAAACCCUAGAAGAUAGGGCUUCUCCUUCGGGAGCAGAGUGACAGGUGGUGCAUGGUGUCGUCAGCUCGUGUCGUGAGAUGUUGGGUUAAGUCCCGCAACGAGCGCAACCCUUGAUCUUAGUUGCCAUCAUUAAGUUGGGCACUCUAAGGUGACUGCCGGUGACAAACCGGAGGAAGGUGGGGAUGACGUCAAAUCAUCAUGCCCCUUAUGACCUGGGCUACACACGUGAUACAAUGGACGGUACAAAGAGCUGCAAGACCGCGAGGUGGAGCUAAUCUCAUAAAACCGUUCUCAGUUCGGAUUGUAGGCUGCAACUCGCCUACAUGAAGCUGGAAUCGCUAGUAAUCGCGGAUCAGCAUGCCGCGGUGAAUACGUUCCCGGGCCUUGUACACACCGCCCGUCACACCACGAGAGUUUGUAACACC